This is a long non-coding RNA of Mandrillus leucophaeus (drill), 906 nucleotides long. RefSeq lists it as uncharacterized. The transcript is spliced from 6 exons. NCBI's taxonomy places the organism in Eukaryota, Metazoa, Chordata, Mammalia, Primates, Cercopithecidae. The record is from RefSeq and is a predicted model, not a curated record.
GUAUUUCCGCCGGCGCGAAACCAGUGUAGCUUGCUAGUCGUGUGGCAUCGGUCUUUCGCCGUCCCUCGCUAUCGCACGCCAUCACACACCAUCACACACCAUCGCAAGCCACCGCACCCCAUCGCUCGAAAUCUGCAGACAUCUUGAUUUUUCCCGCGCUGUCUGUCAGGUCUCCGUCGCCACUCGACGCCAGGGCGCCGGGCCUUGUGGGCUGUGCUGCUCCUCGGAGGGCUUGGCAGCAGCCAGCGCCCCCUCCUGCAGCUCUCUGAUCUGCACCCCCUGAGGGGCAUCCACUGUCCGCGGAGUGAGAAUGCCCUGGCUGAGAGUGUCACACGACUGCUGCCCCAUGUGUGUGAGAGGUGUCCUCUGGGAGAGCAUGGAUUCUGAGGUCCCAGGAUUGUCAGCUGACCUCUGUCCUGUGGGCCCAGUGGCCCCAGGUGACAUUUCUUCAAGAAGAGGCUGAACUGUGGUGCUUGUAAGGUCUCAGCCUUAGAUUCAAGGACAGUCCAAGGAAGUCCUAAGACCAUGGAGUUGGUGACCUGGGAUCUGGGUUUGCUGGUAUUUCUUACCAUGAAUCUCUUGGUGGUGUUUAUGGACACCAGAGGGGCAGAGAAUAGAGAGUGAGGCCACCACAUGAAGCGUCAUGUGGUGCUCCCUGCUGCCUGCUUAGAGCUGCUCCCUGCUGCCUGCUUAGAGCACCCCGGAUCCACUGUUCAAUCUGCACAAGAUUCGGGGUCCAGACAUGGGAGACUUCAGCUGCCUCGGAGGACCGUGGACAGGGAAGGCCAGCCCUGCAUCCCUCUGGCCAUGCCUGGAAUGACUUUAAUAACUAAGAGUUUUAUUCCUGAAUUUGUAGCUGUCGUUCACUUUUUACCCACCCAUUCAAUAAACCUUACAGAAUUGCUC